AUAAUUGGUGCCCAUGGAGACUUGUCCAUAGUUAGCCAAUUCUUCUUAGUGUACAUUUUAAAACUUGUUUUUUUUUUUACAGUUGUGGCUAUGUGUUUGUUUUAAAGGUUGGAAGUCACUUACCCAAGCACCUUGUAGGCAAUCAGCCUUCCAUGAGUCCAGGAUGUAAAGAUCAUUAUCUGCUAAAAAAGGAUGAACAAAACAAUGAACUUCAGACUCUGACUCCAAAUAGAAAUUUCUCUGGAUAUAACCAAAAGAAACUCCAAGAGGAAAAUAUUAAAUUAAAGCAUGAGUUAAAGGACUUAAGGAGUCUGUAUGAACAGCUUUUAGAAGAAGGAAAGAGUGAGUGUUUUGAUGAAAGACGUGUCAAUCUUCUGAAGGCACAAGUAAUGCAGUUGGAGAGGCAGGUAAUAAUAUGACUCUCUUCUUCCCCCUCACCCCAAAGAAAUAGUUCUUAAAUUUGUUUAAGAACAUCUUUUCCUCUGGAUCUCUUAAUGUGAAAGAGCACAUUAUUCGAAGGUAGGUGUCCAGCAGGUGUCUAGUCUGUGCCCCUAGCACAAGGCUAAGGGAACAUUUGUAACUAUAGAUUUAUAGUUUUCUCUAUACAUAUAGCAGGUGAUACAAUUCACUGACAGGAAGAAAGUAUAACAAUUUCUAACUGUGUACUAUCUAUCUGUCUGUCUUUCCUUUUUUCAUUGUUUCAUGUAGAUACCACCUAAGUAGAGCUGCUCUGUUUGGUGGCUGGGGGAGG
RNAcentral lists this long non-coding RNA (751 nucleotides) under Crocodylus porosus (Australian saltwater crocodile). RNAcentral's name for it is "lncRNA (ENSCPRG00005005356.1)". The record is from RNAcentral. Lineage: Eukaryota; Metazoa; Chordata; Crocodylia; Crocodylidae.